GUCCAGGGAUGGAAAACGAACCCACAGUGUUCCGAUUAACGGCAGAUGCCAUGUCCACUAGGCUACCCUGGA
This 72-nucleotide transfer RNA is filed under the name Cordylochernes scorpioides. RNAcentral's name for it is "tRNA-OTHER". Lineage: Eukaryota; Metazoa; Arthropoda; Arachnida; Pseudoscorpiones; Chernetidae. The record is from RNAcentral.